GACAGAGGUUGCAAACGUUGUUCGGAAUUACUGGGCAUAAAGCGCACGUAGGCGGUCCGUUAAGUCAUGUGUGAGAUCCCUCGGCUCAACCGAGGAAUAGCGCCUGAUACUGGCGGGCUAGAGGUCGAUAGGGGUAAGCGGAACUCCAGGUGGAGCGGUGAAAUGCGUAGAUAUCUGGAGGAACACCGGUGGCGAAGGCGGCUUACUGGAUCGAAACUGGCGCUGAGGUGCGAAAGCUAGGGUAGCAAACGGG
Molecule: ribosomal RNA, 253 nt
Filed under: uncultured bacterium
Lineage: Bacteria
Description: partial 16S ribosomal RNA
Rfam family: Bacterial small subunit ribosomal RNA
Source: RNAcentral